AACGAACGCUGGCGGCAGGCCUAACACAUGCAAGUCGAACGCCCUAGCAAUAGGGAGUGGCAGACGGGUGAGUAACACGUGGGAACGUGCCCUUCGGUUCGGAAUAACUCAGGGAAACUUGAGCUAAUACCGGAUACGUGCGAGAGCAGAAAGAUUUAUCGCCGAAGGAUCGGCCCGCGUCCGAUUAGCUAGUUGGUGAGGUAAUGGCUCACCAAGGCGACGAUCGGUAGCUGGUCUGAGAGGAUGACCAGCCGCACUGGGACUGAGACACGGCCCAGACUCCUACGGGAGGCAGCAGUGGGGAAUAUUGGACAAUGGGCGCUAGCCUGAUCCAGCCAUGCCGCGUGAGUGAUGAAGGCCCUAGGGUUGUAAAGCUCUUUCGCCAGGGACGAUAAUGACGGUACCUGGAUAAGAAGCCCCGGCUAACUUCGUGCCAGCCGCCGCGGUAA
RNAcentral lists this ribosomal RNA (449 nucleotides) under uncultured bacterium. RNAcentral describes it as "partial 16S ribosomal RNA". It matches the Rfam family "Bacterial small subunit ribosomal RNA", at positions 29 to 523 of the family's 1533-position model. The record is from RNAcentral.